GGGAAAAUAGCUUAAUUGGGUAGAGUCCUGGCCUGUCACGCCAGUGGGCGCGGGUUCGAACCCCGUUUUUCCCG
Molecule: transfer RNA, 74 nt
Filed under: Bathycoccus prasinos
Lineage: Eukaryota; Viridiplantae; Chlorophyta; Mamiellophyceae; Mamiellales; Bathycoccaceae
Rfam family: tRNA
About the family: Transfer RNA (tRNA) molecules are approximately 80 nucleotides in length. Their secondary structure includes four short double-helical elements and three loops (D, anti-codon, and T loops).
Source: Rfam by way of RNAcentral